Molecule: ribosomal RNA, 254 nt
Filed under: uncultured bacterium
Lineage: Bacteria
Description: partial 16S ribosomal RNA
Rfam family: Bacterial small subunit ribosomal RNA
Source: RNAcentral
GACAGAGGCCCCAAGCGUUAGGCGGAAUUACUGGGCGUAAAGCGUGCGCAGGCGGUCUGUUAAGACCGAUGUGAAAUCCCCGGGCUUAACCUGGGAACUGCAUUGGUGACUGGCAGGCUUUGAGUGUGGCAGAGGGAGGUAGAAUUCCACGUGUAGCAGUGAAAUGCGUAGAGAUGUGGAGGAAUACCGAUGGCGAAGGCAGCCUCCUGGGCCAACACUGACGCUCAUGCACGAAAGCGUGGGGAGCAAACAGG